This 460-nucleotide ribosomal RNA is filed under the name uncultured Alphaproteobacteria bacterium. Its description in RNAcentral is "bacterial SSU rRNA". It matches the Rfam family "Bacterial small subunit ribosomal RNA", at positions 1029 to 1487 of the family's 1533-position model. The record is from RNAcentral. Lineage: Bacteria; Pseudomonadati; Pseudomonadota; Alphaproteobacteria.
GCCGCACAGGUGCUGCAUGGCUGUCGUCAGCUCGUGUCGUGAGAUGUUGGGUUAAGUCCCGCAACGAGCGCAACNNNCGCCUUUAGUUGCCAGCACGUUUGGGUGGGCACUCUAAAGGAACUGCCGGUGACAAGCCGGAGGAAGGUGGGGAUGACGUCAAGUCCUCAUGGCCCUUAUGUCCUGGGCUACACACGUGCUACAAUGGCGGUGACAGUGGGAAGCCAGGCAGCGAUGCCGUGCUGAUCUCUAAAAGCCGUCUCAGUUCAGAUUGCACUCUGCAACUCGAGUGCAUGAAGGUGGAAUCGCUAGUAAUCGCGGAUCAGCAUGCCGCGGUGAAUACGUUCCUGGGCCUUGUACACACCGCCCGUCACACCAUGGGAGUUGGUUCGACCUUAAGCUGGUGCGCGAACCCGUAAGGGACGCAGCCAACCACGGUCGGGUUAGCGACUGGGGUGAAGUC